Molecule: ribosomal RNA, 252 nt
Filed under: uncultured bacterium
Lineage: Bacteria
Description: partial 16S ribosomal RNA
Rfam family: Bacterial small subunit ribosomal RNA
Source: RNAcentral
UACGGAGGAUGCAAGCGUUAUCCGGAAUGAUUGGGCGUAAAGCGUCCGCAGGUGGCUAUGUAAGUCUGCUGUUAAAGAGCAAAGCUUAACUUUGUAAAAGCAGUGGAAACUACAUAGCUAGAGUGCGUUCGGGGCAGAGGGAAUUCCUGGUGUAGCGGUGAAUGCGUAGAGAUCAGGAAGAACACCGGUGGCGAAGGCGCUCUGCUAGGCCGCAACUGACACUGAGGGACGAAAGCUAGGGGAGCGAAUGGG